Molecule: ribosomal RNA, 491 nt
Filed under: uncultured bacterium
Lineage: Bacteria
Description: partial 16S ribosomal RNA
Rfam family: Bacterial small subunit ribosomal RNA
Source: RNAcentral
AGUGAACGCUGGCGGUAGGCCUAACACAUGCAAGUCGAACGGCAGCACAGUAAGAGCUUGCUCUUACGGGUGGCGAGUGGCGGACGGGUGAGGAAUACAUCGGAAUCUACUUUUUCGUGGGGGAUAACGUAGGGAAACUUACGCUAAUACCGCAUACGACCUACGGGUGAGAGCAGGGGAUCUUCGGACCUUGCGCGAUUGAAUGAGCCGAUGUCGGAUUAGCUAGUUGGCGGGGUAAAGGCCCACCAAGGCGACGAUCCGUAGCUGGUCUGAGAGGAUGAUCAGCCACACUGGAACUGAGACACGGUCCAGACUCCGACGGGAGGCAGCAGUGGGGAAUAUUGGACAAUGGGCGCAAGCCUGAUCCAGCCAUACCGCGUGGGUGAAGAAGGCCUGCGGGUUGUAAAGCCCUUUUGUUGGGAAAGAAGAGCAGCAGGUUAAUACCCCGCUGUUCUGACGGUACCCAAAGAAUAAGCACCGGCUAACUUCGU